This 329-nucleotide unclassified non-coding RNA is filed under the name soil metagenome. RNAcentral's name for it is "partial contains 5.8S ribosomal RNA, internal transcribed spacer 2, and large subunit ribosomal RNA". The stretch from base 1 to 120 matches the Rfam family "5.8S ribosomal RNA", at positions 35 to 154 of the family's 154-position model. The record is from RNAcentral.
GAUGAAGAACGCAGCGAAAUGCGAUAAGUAGUGUGAAUUGCAGACUUUAGUGAAUCAUCGAAUCUUUGAACGCACAUUGCGCCCCUUGGUAUUCCGGGGGGCAUGCCUGUCCGAGCGUCAUUACAACCCUCAAGCUCAGCUUGGUGUUGGGCCCCGCCGCCCCGGCGGGCCCUAAAGUCAGUGGCGGUGCCGUCCGGCUCCGAGCGUAGUAAUUCUUCUCGCUCUGGACGUCCGGUCGUGUGCUCGCCAGCAACCCCCAAUUUUUUUCAGGUUGACCUCGGAUCAGGUAGGGAUACCCGCUGAACUUAAGCAUAUCAAUAAGCGAAGGA